Molecule: ribosomal RNA, 549 nt
Filed under: uncultured Glomeromycotina
Lineage: Eukaryota; Fungi; Glomeromycota
Description: SSU rRNA
Rfam family: Eukaryotic small subunit ribosomal RNA
Source: RNAcentral
UUGGAGGGCAAGUCUGGUGCCAGCAGCCGCGGUAAUUCCAGCUCCAAUAGCGUAUAUUAAAGUUGUUGCAGUUAAAAAGCUCGUAGUUGAAUUUCGGGGUCAGUAGGUUGGUCAUGCCACUGGUAUGUACUGGUCUCACUGAUUCCUCCUUCCUGAUGAACUGUAAUGCCAUUAAUUUGGUGUUGCAGGGAAUCUGGACUGUUACUUUGAAAUAAUUAGAGUGUUUAAAGCAGGCUAACGCCUGAAUACAUUAGCAUGGAAUAAUGAAAUAGGACGUUCGAUCCUAUUUUGUUGGUUUCUAGGAUUGACGUAAUGAUUAAUAGGGAUAGUUGGGGGCAUUAGUAUUCAAUUGUCAGAGGUGAAAUUCUUGGAUUUAUUGAAGACUAACUACUGCGAAAGCAUUUGCCAAGGAUGUUUUCAUUAAUCAAGAACGAAAGUUAGGGGAUCGAAGACGAUCAGAUACCGUCGUAGUCUUAACCAUAAACUAUGCCGACUAGGGAUCGGAUGAUGUUAAUUUUUUAAUGACUCAUUCGGCGCCUUACGGGAAAC